Long non-coding RNA from Pezoporus flaviventris, 793 nucleotides. RefSeq lists it as uncharacterized. Lineage: Eukaryota; Metazoa; Chordata; Aves; Psittaciformes; Psittacidae. The record is from RefSeq and is a predicted model, not a curated record. The transcript has 2 exons.
ACCUCCAGCCCUUUGCUGGGGCUGUAUUUAAGCUCAGGCUCCUACUCCUCUUCCUUUCCUUGCCUGUGCUGUGUGAGUGCUGUGCAUUGCCAUGCUCCUUGGCCUUGGCUUCAGCACUGCUUUUGGACCUUCUCCGUUGCUAUGAACCUGUGUGGUGGUAAUCACUGCCCCAGAGCUGGCUCUCCUUGCUCUGGUUCCGAGCCCCAUGUUGGUGAGGUUGCCGUUCUCCUUGGCUCCUGUCUCAUCUUCCUUCACAGAGCAGCCCCCUCUUGCUGCUUCUUGAUGCUUUAUCCUCAGCAGGAGUGCACUAAGGUGUGCCAACCCUAAAGCACCCUCUGGUGCUCUUCCCACUGCAAAUGGAGGCAGAAACCACUGCUUUAGUGAACCUACCUGUGGGAUAAUGUCAGAGGGACCUUGGAAAAGGCUCUCUGUGCUGCCAGUGCUGAGAGUAAAAGAGAGCUGUAACGUGGGAUUUCCCUGCAAUCCCACCCGGUUCCUUGUAAUUACUGGCAGUAUUAAAACCACAAAUCAAAUAGCUGCUUGUUUCUUCUGGUUGUCCAUUGACUGCAAACCUGCAAAGAAGCACUCGCUGCACUUCACUGUGCAGAGAAAUGCUUUGGAGUGAACACACAAAGGCCAAGUAAAGAGAUGAGGCUUUCUGAGCGUAACUAAUUUGAUGAAGAAUAGCACUUACCAAGGAAAGGCGAGAAGUGUUGGCUUAUUGGUUUUAUACAGCUUCUUUGUAAGCCAUUUGUAUGUCUCUGGAUAAGCAGCAUUAAAGUGACUCUAAACA